AUUCUUUUCUCGCAUGAGAGAAKAUGGAAAGACGGUUUACGCUGUCACUUAUAGAUGGGCCCGCGGCGCAUUAGCUAGUUGGUGAGGUAAUGGCUCACCAAGGCGACGAUGCGUAGCCGACCUGAGAGGGUGAUCGGCCACACUGGGAACUCGAA
RNAcentral lists this ribosomal RNA (155 nucleotides) under Peribacillus simplex. Its description in RNAcentral is "partial 16S ribosomal RNA". The record is from RNAcentral. Lineage: Bacteria; Bacillati; Bacillota; Bacilli; Caryophanales; Bacillaceae.